RNAcentral lists this RNase P RNA (362 nucleotides) under chicken gut metagenome. RNAcentral describes it as "Bacterial RNase P class A". It matches the Rfam family "Bacterial RNase P class A". From Rfam's summary of the family: Ribonuclease P (RNase P) is a ubiquitous endoribonuclease, found in archaea, bacteria and eukarya as well as chloroplasts and mitochondria. Its best characterised activity is the generation of mature 5'-ends of tRNAs by cleaving the 5'-leader elements of precursor-tRNAs. The record is from RNAcentral.
AGCAGGACAGGCGGUCGCGUGGCGAACCCGAAAGGGCCGCCAUGAGGAAAGUCCGGGCUCCACAGGGCAAGGAUAACGGGUAACGCCCGCCGAAGGCGACUUCAGGAAAAGUGCAACAGAGAUAUACCGCCUCAUCCCUCGUAAGAGGGCGGCUUUUUGCCGUGAGGUAAGGGUGGAAAGGCGAGGUAAGAGCUCACCCAUCGGCUGGAGACUGUCCGAUGCUGUAAACUCUAUCCGGAGCAACACCGUGGGAGGACAUAUGGCUGGCCCGGCCGUCCUCAGGAGGUGGCUGGAGUGGUCUGGCAACAGGCCGCCUAGAUAGAUGACUGCCAAAUACAGAACCCGGCUUACAGUCCUGCUCG